Molecule: transfer RNA, 60 nt
Filed under: Hyalella franciscae
Lineage: Eukaryota; Metazoa; Arthropoda; Malacostraca; Amphipoda; Hyalellidae
Description: tRNA-Thr
Rfam family: tRNA
About the family: Transfer RNA (tRNA) molecules are approximately 80 nucleotides in length. Their secondary structure includes four short double-helical elements and three loops (D, anti-codon, and T loops).
Source: RNAcentral
ACUUUUAUAGUUUAAAUAAAAUAAUAGUCUUGUAAACUAUAGUCGGGAAACCUAAAAGUA